Molecule: ribosomal RNA, 1372 nt
Filed under: uncultured bacterium
Lineage: Bacteria
Description: bacterial SSU rRNA
Rfam family: Bacterial small subunit ribosomal RNA
Source: RNAcentral
GAUGAACGCUGGCGGCGUGCCUAAUACAUGCAAGUCGAGCGAACAGACAAGGAGCUUGCUCCUUUGACGUUAGCGGCAGACGGGUGAGUAACACGUGGGUAACCUACCUAUAAGACUGGGAUAACUUCGGGAAACCGGAGCUAAUACCGGAUAAUAUUUCGAACCGCAUGGUUCGAUAGUGAAAGAUGGUUUUGCUAUCACUUAUAGAUGGACCCGCGCCGUAUUAGCUAGUUGGUAAGGUAACGGCUUACCAAGGCGACGAUACGUAGCCGACCUGAGAGGGUGAUCGGCCACACUGGAACUGAGACACGGUCCAGACUCCUACGGGAGGCAGCAGUAGGGAAUCUUCCGCAAUGGGCGAAAGCCUGACGGAGCAACGCCGCGUGAGUGAUGAAGGUCUUCGGAUCGUAAAACUCUGUUAUUAGGGAAGAACAUACGUGUAAGUAACUAUGCACGUCUUGACGGUACCUAAUCAGAAAGCCACGGCUAACUACGUGCCAGCAGCCGCGGUAAUACGUAGGUGGCAAGCGUUAUCCGGAAUUAUUGGGCGUAAAGCGCGCGUAGGCGGUUUUUUAAGUCUGAUGUGAAAGCCCACGGCUCAACCGUGGAGGGUCAUUGGAAACUGUAAAACUUGAGUGCAGAAGAGGAAAGUGGAAUUCCAUGUGUAGCGGUGAAAUGCGCAGAGAUAUGGAGGGACACCAGUGGCGAAGGCGACUUUCUGGUCUGUAACUGACGCUGAUGUGCGAAAGCGUGGGGAUCAAACAGGAUUAGAUACCCUGGUAGUCCACGCCGUAAACGAUGAGUGCUAAGUGUUAGGGGGUUUCCGCCCCUUAGUGCUGCAGCUAACGCAUUAAGCACUCCGCCUGGGGAGUACGACCGCAAGGUUGAAACUCAAAGGAAUUGACGGGGACCCGCACAAGCGGUGGAGCAUGUGGUUUAAUUCGAAGCAACGCGAAGAACCUUACCAAAUCUUGACAUCCUUUGACAACUCUAGAGAUAGAGCCUUCCCCUUCGGGGGACAAAGUGACAGGUGGUGCAUGGUUGUCGUCAGCUCGUGUCGUGAGAUGUUGGGUUAAGUCCCGCAACGAGCGCAACCCUUAAGCUUAGUUGCCAUCAUUAAGUUGGGCACUCUAAGUUGACUGCCGGUGACAAACCGGAGGAAGGUGGGGAUGACGUCAAAUCAUCAUGCCCCUUAUGAUUUGGGCUACACACGUGCUACAAUGGACAAUACAAAGGGCAGCGAAACCGCGAGGUCAAGCAAAUCCCAUAAAGUUGUUCUCAGUUCGGAUUGUAGUCUGCAACUCGACUACAUGAAGCUGGAAUCGCUAGUAAUCGUAGAUCAGCAUGCUACGGUGAAUACGUUCCCGGGUCU